This is a long non-coding RNA of Armigeres subalbatus, 1274 nucleotides long. RefSeq lists it as uncharacterized. NCBI's taxonomy places the organism in Eukaryota, Metazoa, Arthropoda, Insecta, Diptera, Culicidae. The transcript has 2 exons. The record is from RefSeq and is a predicted model, not a curated record.
UGGGAUGAGGCAGGGAAAAAGGUAUUAUUUGCUUUUUGCUUCUUUAUCGUCCUUUUCGAUAACUCAAUCAAUUGUUACUAAUACUACUGUAAUAUCUCGAUUUUAUCACCCCCUGGUGGAUGUUGGGGACAUGAAACAAAAGCGUAAUUUUUUAUUUUCAUUUUUUUUUUAUUUGUUUUGCAAGUUUAUGCAUUCGUAAGGCAAAAUGCGUGAUCGGUACUCAAUAUUUCUAGUCGAAAAUACUUACAAAAACGUUAUAACCCAGGUCGAAAACGUGAUAACUUGUUUGGUACCUCGAGGCCAUUUGGCAUAACGACCAUUUGGCAUAAUCGUUGAAAAGAUGUAUCAACGACCAUUCGGAUACCCACAUAAAAAAAAUAAUCGUAUGAAUGUCUGAUUUCCAUUUUUAGAAGUAUGUAUUUCCCCCGAAUAAGAUGACCUUCUUUAAAAGUAUGCAUUUGCCCGGAAUAAGACAAAAUAAUAGAUGAUCCCUUCUUUAAAAGUACGCAUUUGCCCGUAAAAAGACAAAAGAGUAGAUGGCCCCUUCUUCAAAAGUACAACUUUUUCCAGAAGAAAACAGAACACUGGAUAACCCAUUCUUCAAAAGAACGCAUUCGUCCGGAAAAGUCGAAGCGUAUAUGAUUUCUUUUCUACGCAUACGAUCGAAAUAAGACAAAUGAGCAGAUAAUUCCAUUUUCUAUAGCACGCGAUUUCUCGCUUAACUUUUCAAAAGGACCUAAGUAACAUUUUUUUCAUGAAUUAAUUUGAAUAGCGCAAUCAACAGAACAACAUGAAAGCUUUUGAUUGCAGUACUCAAAUUAAUUCAUGAAAAAAAUGUCACUUAGGUCCUUUUGAAAAAUUAAGCGAGAUUUCUCCUUAUAACGAAAAAGCAUGCAUGCAUUUGCUUGGAAGAAUUCUAAUAAGUAGAUCUUUUCUCACUUUGAAGCACGCUUUUGAGAAAAAAAUAGUACAUUAUUUCUUUAUUUAAAUCGAUUUAAAUCACUUCUUAAAAAGACGCAUAUGCCCAGAAUAAGGCCAUAACUCUUGUAAAGCGAGCCUAGAGUUUUUUUAUAAUUCUUUUAAUUUUUCUGCUAAAUUGUCAUUAUGCCAAAUGUCCCUAAAAUCAUUAUGACUAUUUUUCUUUAUUAUGCCAAACGGUCGUUAUACCAAAUGGUCCCUGGCUAGUCAACUCGUUAUCCCAAACGAACAUUAUGCCAUUUGGGGUAGCCCCGAAAUAAUUGUUGUUCUUCACAUUUUCUUCAAUGGCCUUACAC